AUGCAUACACACACGUGCAUAUGCACAUGCAUGCAGACACAUUUGCACAUGUGCCUGCACAUGCACGCAGACACAUGCAUGGUACAUGCAUACACACAGACACAUGCACACACAUGCAGACACACAUGUAUGCACACAGACACAUGUACACACAUGUGCAUGCAAAGACACAUGUGUACACGUACAGCGACCUGCGUGUGCAUGUAUGCAGGACACAGACACGCGUGUGCAUGCACACAGAGACAGACGCAUGUCCGUGCACACACACUGACACAGACACCCUACCCUCUGUCCUGGAGGCCGGAAGUCCAGACCGAGGAGCCGGCCGGCUGUGCGUCCUCUGAGGGACCGGGAGGCCACCCGCAUCUCUGUGCCGUUUCUUGGGAACAUCGGCACUGCGCACGCGGACGCACUUGGCACAGCCUUGUCCUCUCCGAUGGCACCGCAAGGAACCGUGUCCCAAGCCCAGAAAGGGCGUCCCAGGCGUGGGCACAGUGGACAGGUGCCCUGGCCAGUCUCGGUCCUGGGCCCUCCCCUCCUGCUCAGGACAGGACGAGCCAGCAUGGCCUCUCUCUCAGCUUGCGGGGCCUUCGGGGCCUCUGGCCUGCCUGUGUGCCUGGCGGGGCUCCUGGACUCCACGCUGCCGGGGCGCUUCAGGCUGAGUCCCGAGCCCGCACGAAGCCACGCCCACGGGCCCCCACUGAUCACAGCACCUGCAGAGCCUGCCCCCUGGUGGGGGGCUCCCGCUCCCUGCCUAAGCAGGGCGUGGCGAGGCCUGAGGAGGGGUUUGGGCAGGAAGGUGCCCACUACGAGUGGCCGGUGAGACCCGGGGCUGCCCCCUGUGCACUCAGGAGACGGCUGCUGGCCCACGACCUGCCGGGGCCGCGACCCGCCUGGCCCACCUGCCCGGCUGGGGACCAGCGUGUUAAGACAGGCCCUGGUGCAAAGGCUUGGAAACCGGGGUGCGCGUCCCCGAGGGGUUUCUCAGGCCCCUCGUGUGCAGGAGCUGUGAACUUUGUGCACCAAGUUUAUCUUCUAGUUACACGUGCCAUCUUUUUUCGUAACGAUUUAUUUACGUGA
Molecule: long non-coding RNA, 1080 nt
Filed under: Oryctolagus cuniculus (rabbit)
Lineage: Eukaryota; Metazoa; Chordata; Mammalia; Lagomorpha; Leporidae
Description: lncRNA (ENSOCUG00000032194.1)
Source: RNAcentral